Molecule: ribosomal RNA, 109 nt
Filed under: Roseihalotalea indica
Lineage: Bacteria; Pseudomonadati; Bacteroidota; Cytophagia; Cytophagales; Catalimonadaceae
Source: RNAcentral
UAGGGUGGCUUUAGCACCGGGGAUCACCUCUUCCCAUUCCGAACAGAGCAGUUAAGCCCGGUAGCGCCAAUGGUACUUCUUCCUGAGGGAGAGUAGGUCGCCGCCUUUA